This 395-nucleotide ribosomal RNA is filed under the name uncultured bacterium. RNAcentral's name for it is "partial 16S ribosomal RNA". It matches the Rfam family "Bacterial small subunit ribosomal RNA", at positions 523 to 918 of the family's 1533-position model. The record is from RNAcentral.
AUACGUAGGGUGAAAGCGUUAAUCGGAAUUACUGGGCGUAAAGCGUGCGCAGGCGGUUUUGUAAGACAGAGGUGAAAUCCCCGGGCUCAACCUGGGAAAUGCCUUUGUGACUGCAAGGCUAGAGUACGGCAGAGGGGGAUGGAAUUCCGCGUGUAGCAGUGUAAUGCGUAGAUAUGCGGAGGAACACCGAUGGCGAAGGCAAUCCCCUGGGCCUGUACUGACGCUCAUGCACGAAAGCGUGGGGAGCAAACAGGAUUAGAUACCCUGGUAGUCCACGCCCUAAACGAUGUCAACUGGUUGUUGGGUCUUCAUUGACUCAGUAACGAAGCUAACGCGUGAAGUUGACCGCCUGGGGAGUACGGCCGCAAGGUUGAAACUCAAAUGAAUGGGCGGGG